UGGGAAGUUCUCUAAAUACUCCAUUCUCAGACUAUCAAAGCUCUGAGAGUAUUUUCUUGUCUCACAGGGAUAAAUUCCAUUAACUACAGCAAAGUGCUUAGCUAUUAUAUUCAAGGGGAUUGUACACAAUGGGCAUAAAGACCAGGGCUUUGGAAAAUACCUGAAGAAAUUGAGGUGUUUAAAUAUGUAGAACAAUUUACUUGGAAGCUAGGCACUUCUGAAAGUUCUUUUGAAAAUCCUCAUAUCUGCCUUUAUGCUUGAGAGAACACAAACAAGGUAAGAAUCAUGCAGGUGACCUUGGCAUUUACUUUCUGAGGAUAAGCUUUCCAGGAGCCCAGUAGAUGAUGUACGAGUAGGAAUCUGCCUUUCUUCAAACUGUCAUAUUCUUCAAUUAAUUUUAAAGUCUCUUGCAAAUGUUUAUGCAUGACAGUCACAAUUUUGGAUAUGACACUUCUGGAAAAUAAGAUUCAAGGCUUAAGGUUCACUUGCAGCAAAAGUCCUGUGCUUUGCAAGACUAACCACCCCAACCAAACUGAUGCUGAAACACUGGUCUGCUCCUUACAAAUUUAAGUCAUUCUCAAGCUGAAGAGCAUGAACCAUAUAAGCUUUAUUUGAUUUAUAACACAAACACUACAUUGACUUAUUUGAGGAAUCAAAAUAUAAAACUCUGCAAAAACAUACACUUUGAUUUAUGUGUGGAAGAGGCAAUGAGAAUCUCAGUCUUUGGAGAAUGGCCACAGAGAAUGACAAAUAAUACUGACCAUAAUGAUUGCAGGCCUGGAUUUAUUACUUUUGCUUAUUAUAAUGUACCAUGUAAUUUACUUGUACAGUAUAACUGUUUGGUUGAAAUAAGUAUAUUGUAUUCAGUGCAUGGCAGUCAUAUUAUAAUGGAAUAUUUUGGAUUCUCAAUGAUCCAGUUAUUCAUACAUCCAAUUCUGUGACAUUAGAGUAGAUUUAAUGGUUAGAGGAAAUGCUCUUUUCUAUUUCUACUGUAAGUUGUAUGCAUAAAUUUAUGAGUUCAUUUUCUAGCAAUAUUCUGAUCUCAAAACUCCUUAUACUAUUUUUAUUGCUUUUAAAAUAUUUUCUCUAUAUCUGAUCACCAACAUAUUUUACACAUUUGAAGAAGUGUUGUUUCAGCACAACAGACAACUCAAGAUCCACAUGUAUACCAAACCCUUAUUCUGCUGUUGUAUUUUAAGUGUUGGGACUUAGAGAUGUUGAGCAAUGAGAAAACAGUCUCUUCACCUUCAAAAAGUACAACUCAACUCAUAUCCCAGUCCUUGAUAGGUGUGCUGUACCUCUGCAUUAGCUGAUAUAGAGGCAAAUUUAUCAUGUAAAGAAUUCCAACCUCUUAAUUUAAUUUAGAUAUGUAUUGGUGAAAUGAAGAACCUAAUUCUAUCUGAAUUUGAACAAGAAGAUGCCAGUGAAUUAAAUUACAUUAUGCUGCUUGCUAUAAACUGGAAAAUCUUAUCUAAUCUUAUAUAAAUGUCUUUUUUUCCCCAGGAAUCCUUCAAACUGCAGAAGGGGUACUUCAUUUCCACCUUCACUUUUUACUCUUCAUAUAAAACCUUAAUUUUGGGGGCUGUUCUAGAGAAAAAUGUCUGUGAGAAUCAGAUGUUUUAGCAUAAAUUUGUCAUGGGCCAUUUUCUUUGUGUAUUAUUAACAUGAACAUGAUUUAAAUAAAGCCUGUCAGACCUGUAGAGUCUAAGUGAGGAUAACAAAGGAGACAACAAAACCUCAAAAGGUAAAAGAACUUUUCAGAAUAUGUUCUAUGACAGAAGAAGUUUUCUUAAUCCUUCAUUGACAAAUCUCAUUUGUUUUAUACACUUCUGAAUCUUAAAUAUGCCCUAGAAUAAAUAUAACAAGUUUAACAAUAUCUGAACGUAAAGAAUUCAAUUUGUUCAUUGCUCUUUUGAGUACUUCUUUAUUUUCUCCUGCUAUUUUGAGUACUAUGAAGAUCUUCAUUUGUGUCACAGUGAAACUGCAUAUAUUGGUGGUAGUGUCAGUGUUCCUACUACUAUUAAUAUUAUUCUUAUUACUAUUGUUAUUGCUAUUUAUAAAUCUACCCCCAACAAUCAUCUUUCUGUUAUCUUAAAGCUUAAUGAACCGCACAUCAAUUCAUCAAAAAUUUUCAGUUGUGUUUUUGUUUAAUUCUGCAGAAGUAAAAAGUCAGGGAGAGAUAUCUUUGCUAAGAGUGUCGGUGGUCAAGAAUCAAGGAAAGAUGCAAGUUUCAUUUUUCCAUCCAGCAGAAAUGAAUUAAGCUCCUAUUGCUUCUCUUCAAAGUAGUUACCAGUUCACAUAUCUAUUCUGACAUGGCAGCAACAGGUCUUGUACCCAUAAUAAAAAUAUAGCCUCUGCCUGAUAGAGACUUGUUUUCAGAACACUGUUUGGUUGAAGUUCUAUCACAAUUUCAUGUCAUUUGCUUCACCUUGUUCUGCUGCAGUUAUAUAAAAUAUUUGCAUAAAAAUACUGUAAUGUUAUGCUUGGGACAUAGUAGGUAACAAAUGCAUGCUCUGAUCCCUUUUGGUAUUUAUGUAAAUGGAGUAAAACAAGAAUAAAAGGUAAUCAUAAGAUUUAACCAUAAAAUUCUGCCAUUUCAAGUAGGAGGAGCUCUGCCAUAAAAAACUGGGAAUUGAAUUCAAGGCUCUCACAGCAUAAGAAAAUGGUUAGUUGUUGGAUUCUUAAGGGGUUCAGUAAUGAUCCAAGCUGUCAGAGAUAUUGUGUAUUUAAAACUGAAUGGUUCCAUUAACUUUGAUUGAACUUUUUCUCUACUGUGUUAUUCUUUUCUUGUCUGUAAAAGAAGCCAUCAAUGUCACUGGGAAGCUUUCUGAGCUCUCAUAACUCAGACCUCGCUGACAAUUGACUCUUGGAAGCAAAUAUGUCUGCAUGAAUUAAAUAUGUUUUGCUGUCAGUGGGCAUUAGAUAUGUUACCUGAUGUUUGAAACUAUGGAGGCACAAAUAGACAUCACAAGUCUGCAAACUGAAAAUUCAUCUGUAAAGUAGCUGUAUUUUCUGGUCCUCAAGAAUCAGAUUAAUAUGAUACAAAAUACUAUGUUAGAAAAAUCCCUUGAAAUGUCCUUGGAAAACCAUCAGAGGAGGUUUUGGAAAACCAUCAGGGUGAGGUUCUGUAAAUACUGCCUCGAAGUGAGAUUCCUGUGCAAACUUUGUGGUGAAAAAGACAAUUUAAAUUCAGGAAGCAAGAUUCAAUAGCAAAUAGUUAAUUGUGCAGAACAUUUUGUUACUACAUUUCUCAUUUCCCAACCUACAUCACUUGAAACACACCAGUCCCAGAACUUGCUGAAAUAUUCCUACCAGGUGAAAUCUUGGCAGACAAUGCAAAAUCUUAAUCUUCGUAACAGUCCAGACAAGGGAGUUGAUUUUAUUGCACCAGAAAUUGUCAUUAUAGCAGGUAAUAAUUUUAUCUACAUGCUUCGACCGUCUAUCAAGGAAGGAAAAUUCCUGGAAAAUCACUACUGUGUGCUCUGUCUCUCACUCUAUCUCUCUGUCUCUCUCUCUCCUUCUAUCCCCACCUCUUUUCCUUCUAACUGCUGACAAAGCCCAAUUGAUGGGAGAGAAUUUUUGGAACUUUCUAAAUGCAUGACAGUUGUAAUGGUUAUUUUGAACAUUUUAUUUUUGAAUUUAAAUGAUAGGUUCUAGAGCUAAUAUCUGAUAUGUUUUUUUAUUCAUCAUGAACUGCUGUUUCCUAUGUAUUCAUUGCUAAUGUGAUCUACAUAUACACUGAUUUUCUAUAAAUG
RNAcentral lists this long non-coding RNA (3755 nucleotides) under Gallus gallus (chicken). RNAcentral describes it as "lncRNA (ENSGALG00010019010.1)". Lineage: Eukaryota; Metazoa; Chordata; Aves; Galliformes; Phasianidae. The record is from RNAcentral.